CCUACGGGGGGCAGCAGUGAGGAAUAUUGGUCAAUGGCCGGAAGGCUGAACCAGCCAUGCCGCGUGAAGGUCAGUGCCCUAUGGGCGUUAAACUUCUUUUGUGCGGGAGCAAUAAUGGUCACGUGUGGCCAGACGAGAGUACCGUACGAAUAAGCAUCGGCUAACUCCGUGCCAGCAGACGCGGUAAUACGGGGGAUGCAAGCGUUAUCCGGGUUUAUUGGGUUUAAAGGGUGCGUAGGGUGGGAGGUAAGUCAGCGGUGAAAUGCCCCCGCUCAACGGGGUGAAGUGCCAUUGAUACUGCCUUGCUGGAAUGCGGAUGCCGUAGGAGGAAUGUGUGGUGUAGCGGUGAAAUGCAUAGAUAUCACACAGAACACCGAUUGCGAAGGCAGCUCACGAAUCCGCGAUUGACGCUGAUGCACGAAAGCGUGGGUAUCAAACAGGAUUAGAUACCCGUGUAGUC
Molecule: ribosomal RNA, 460 nt
Filed under: uncultured bacterium
Lineage: Bacteria
Description: partial 16S ribosomal RNA
Rfam family: Bacterial small subunit ribosomal RNA
Source: RNAcentral